Molecule: small nuclear RNA, 107 nt
Organism: Otolemur garnettii (small-eared galago)
Lineage: Eukaryota; Metazoa; Chordata; Mammalia; Primates; Galagidae
Source: Ensembl
GUGCUGGCUUCGGCAGCACAUAUACUAAAAUUGAAAUGAUACAGAGAAGAUUAGCAUGGCCCCUGCACAAGGAUGACAUGCAAAUUUGUGAAGCGUUCCAUAUUUUU